RNAcentral lists this ribosomal RNA (440 nucleotides) under uncultured bacterium. Its description in RNAcentral is "partial 16S ribosomal RNA". It matches the Rfam family "Bacterial small subunit ribosomal RNA", at positions 338 to 795 of the family's 1533-position model. The record is from RNAcentral.
CCUACGGGAGGCAGCAGUGGGGAAUAUUGCACAAUGGGGGAAACCCUGAUGCAGCGACGCCGCGUGAGUGAAGAAGUAUCUCGGUACGUAAAGCUCUAUCAGCAGGAAAGAAAAUGACGGUACCUGACUAAGAAGCCCCGGCUAACUACGUGCCAUCAGCCGCGGUAAUACGUAGGGGGCAAGCGUUAUCCGGAUUUACUGGGUGUAAAGGGAGCGUAGACGGCGCUGCAAGUCCGGAGUGAAAGCCCAUGGCUUAACCAUGGUACUGCUCUGGAAACUGUAGAGCUUGAGUGCGCGAGGGGCAGGCGGAAUUCCUAGUGUAGCGGUGAAAUGCGUAGAUAUCACGCAGAACUCCGAUUGCGAAGGCAGCAUACCGGCGCUCAACUGACGCUCAUGCACGAAAGUGUGGGUAUCGAACAGGAUUAGAUACCCCUGUAGUC